This 591-nucleotide long non-coding RNA is filed under the name Trifolium pratense (red clover). Its description in RNAcentral is "long non-coding RNA (TPRA_LNC010420)". The record is from RNAcentral. Lineage: Eukaryota; Viridiplantae; Streptophyta; Magnoliopsida; Fabales; Fabaceae.
GAAGCUGACACUUGAAAAUAUGGUCUUUGUUUCUAAAAAGGAUGAUAUAUGCCCCAAGAAGGAGAAGGUUGAAAUAACUAUCAAGUAUCCACCCUAACAUUGGUGGGUAGAUCGUCAAGCUCAGGACGUUAAACACGCGCUUGAUGGGAGGCAACCCAUCCGGUAUGUUUUAUUUCAGUCUUUAUUUUUAGUCAAAAAAAAAAUAACAAAAAACAAACAAAAAAGAGAGACUAUCAAUGAUGUCAUUUGCUAACAAUCCCUUGUGUUUCAUCUUUAUGUUGUCUUGUUUAUUAUCAAGUUUAAUGUUUUUAUGUCUUUUCAGAAUUGUUAGUGUGUUAAUACCUGAAUUUGCAUGAUGAAAAUCUCUUAGACUUGCACAUAAAAGAAUAACAGACGUGUGACUGCUCAUGAAAGUGCGAUGGUUAAAGAGACAAAGAGAUGAAUUGGAAAGAUGGAGUUUUGCACGGUGUACAAGUUUAACUUUCAGAUACCUCAGCUGGUGAGCAUAUUGAGCCAAAUAAAUUUCAUGGUAUACCCUUUUCUUUCACAUCUUAUGAGUGUAUCCAUGCUUUGUAUAUUUUCUAGAACUUG